CAAGGAUUCUUGAAGAGCUUUUGACUAGAAUUUGUUACAAAUUGAUCCUAAGUACUAAAAGGUUAAGAGAAAGUGUUAAGCCAUCAAGAGUGGAGAGUUUAAGUGGGUUCUACUUGUGUCCAAGGAAAUAGGUGAGGACUUGGUCGGAUGGACGUCGGCAAGCGG
Pistacia vera is the source of this 165-nucleotide long non-coding RNA. RefSeq lists it as uncharacterized. The record is from RefSeq and is a predicted model, not a curated record. Lineage: Eukaryota; Viridiplantae; Streptophyta; Magnoliopsida; Sapindales; Anacardiaceae. The transcript has 3 exons.